This 254-nucleotide ribosomal RNA is filed under the name uncultured bacterium. Its description in RNAcentral is "partial 16S ribosomal RNA". It matches the Rfam family "Bacterial small subunit ribosomal RNA", at positions 524 to 776 of the family's 1533-position model. The record is from RNAcentral.
UACGAAGGGUGCAAGCGUUACUCGGAAUUACUGGGCGUAAAGCGUGCGUAGGUGGUUUGUUAAGUCUGAUGUGAAAGCCCUGGGCUCAACCUGGGAAUUGCAUUGGAUACUGGCAGGCUAGAGUGCGGUAGAGGAUGGCGGAAUUCCCGGUGUAGCAGUGAAAUGCGUAGAGAUCGGGAGGAACAUCUGUGGCGAAGGCGGCACGCUGGACCCUCUCUGACGCUGAGGCGCGAAAGCCAGGGGAGCGGAACGGG